AAUUACAAAUUAAUAUGUUCUGUGUGUUUGAAUUGUACAAUACCUAUUGUGAGAUAACAGCUGUCCUGAGAGCUUUUAAAAUAUCAUUUGCCAGCAAGGCAAAAAGUUCUAUUAAACCCUUGUCCCAUUAAGCAGAUUCUAUUUACAUCCAAAUAAACAGCAACUUGCGAAUAUUAUUGUUGCAAUUUACGAAGUUCCAACUUUGUGAAAAUUGUGAACUUUUGUCGUCUAUUUCAGGCUUCCAGCCUUCCAAGUUUACUCAUAUAAGAUGACUUUCGGUUUAUAGAGUCUGGCUGAUGGAAAACUAUUAAGUUUCAUCGAAAAAAUGAAGAAAAUAUGCACAAAAUCGAUGAAAUUAUUUCCAAAUACGCUCCCAAAUAGGCGGCCAUCUUGAAUCCAGCGACUGAAAGUAAUGACGUAAUGUUUGACAAAAAAAUGACGUAGGUCAUUUUGUGACCAACAAUCCGCGAUGAAGCCGAAACCUAUAGUAGCUGGAGGCACAGAGUGCCCCAGCGACUAAUAAGUGAUGAAAUAUUUCAAUUGUCCCAUGUCAUUUUCAUUAUUCAGUUCUUUUCAAGGAAAUACAAAAUGUGAAUCAAGUUUUUUCGCAGAUACGUGUACGCUUUGCGUACCUAUAUUUUUU
This is a non-coding RNA of Paramuricea clavata, 643 nucleotides long. The record is from the annotation of a GenBank genome assembly. Lineage: Eukaryota; Metazoa; Cnidaria; Anthozoa; Malacalcyonacea; Plexauridae.